UGCCACAUAUACCACAAGGUAAACUCUAAUACUUUAGAUAUUCUUUUUUAUAUUAUUUUAUCUUUUAUUAUCUAAUAUAAUAUUCUUUAUGAUGUCUUGAUACUCUCAAGUUUGGAUGAUGUGGGGUCAUCAGUGAUCCCACAGUCACAUGGAGCCAUGCCCGACUCUCAGAGUCAGAGGCAUGGUAGAGGAUCCAUCCGGCUCGUGGUACC
This 212-nucleotide long non-coding RNA is filed under the name Elaeis guineensis (African oil palm). RNAcentral describes it as "long non-coding RNA (EGUI_LNC078037)". Lineage: Eukaryota; Viridiplantae; Streptophyta; Magnoliopsida; Arecales; Arecaceae. The record is from RNAcentral.